UGUUGGAUUGUCUGCAAAGCGCUGAACCAAAGAGAGGAAUAUAAUGUGUAAAUAUAAUUCGUUAUUCAAAUACGAACUUCUUUGCUUGAUUGCUAGAAUUUCAGUAUAAAUCAGAUAUUAGUUAUUUGACCUUCAUUUACCCUUUCUCAAACCCUAGCAGCCACAACACCAACUCUAGCCGAUCCUUCAGAACCCAAAACUGAGCCCAUCUCUGCAAUAGCAUCGGCUUCUCCAGGGAUAAAUCAAGACGGGCUCCCUGCAGGUCAGGGUGUCUUGCCAAGUACAACCAGGUCACAGUCAUGACUCAUGAUCACCAGCAAUAAUCUCAUCAAGGUCCCAGGAGGAAUCACGAGAAUUCACUGCCGAAUUGGUUUUUUUUUUUAAGUUUAUUUGGUUGCUGGAAAGAAACCGUGAAAUGAAGGGCUCUAGAGUAUGAUCAUUUGUGCCUCAAAUUUGGUAAGGUUUCUUUCCCCUAUAUAAUUUUGAUUGGUACUUGUAGAUUUUCAUCAUAAAUUAUUGUAUUCUCUUGCAAAGUUCAUUUUUGACACUUAUGUAAACUUUAACCCACUUCACCAGAUAACUUAAAUCUGUUUUGUUUGAUCAUUAUGUUAUAAUAUUCUAUGUGGUUGCAAGUUUGAAAAAUGGAGGGAGACAGAUCAGUUAUGAACAAAUUAGCAUGGUUCAUCCUAAUGCUAUAUAAGUUAGGUUGCUGAUUUGUUUCCUUAUUUCUUCAUUGGUGAUUUGUAUUUUUAGUGACUUUCCAUUCUUGGGUAAUAAGUUUUUGUCAAGAGUUAAUGUGUUCAGUUCUUUUUUUAAUUUUGGUUAUGUGUGGUUCUGUGUCAUGUGAUUCGAGGUUCCAAAAGAGAAACAUUACUUCUUUUAUUUGGUCAGAGGAGUGGGGAGGAAGUUCUGUUCAAUUUUGGUUUUUCCGAUGGCUUAGGAAGAAAUUAUGUCACUAUUGAUAUUGUAGGUGUCCAGCUUGCAGAAAUUACAAAGUAAUGCUACAAUAGAUGUAUCCCUUGGUUUGUCAUUUUGUUACUUGAUUACUCAGGUUAUAUUUGGGUGCCCUAUGCUUCGUUCUACAAUCAAUGUUUGCCAUGAUUUUAGAAACAGUUUAGGGUGCAUGUGGGGAUUUGAUUUGAUUUCUAAUAAGAGGCAUGAAAGUAAGCAAGUUGUUGGUAAGAAAUCCAAAGAAUUGUAGUUGGAGGAAACAUUCUUUAUUCCUCAUCUUUUGUAAAUUUUUCAGUUUGUGA
Molecule: long non-coding RNA, 1253 nt
Organism: Malus domestica (apple)
Lineage: Eukaryota; Viridiplantae; Streptophyta; Magnoliopsida; Rosales; Rosaceae
Source: RefSeq, a predicted model, not a curated record